RNAcentral lists this long non-coding RNA (213 nucleotides) under Lathyrus oleraceus (garden pea). RNAcentral describes it as "Pisum sativum (pea) long non-coding RNA (PSAT_LNC007784)". The record is from RNAcentral. Lineage: Eukaryota; Viridiplantae; Streptophyta; Magnoliopsida; Fabales; Fabaceae.
GAUUUGUUAGGUGUAAAAUAUCUUCAAUCAAUUAGACACUCUUCUAAUCAAUUGGCUAAGUCUUGUAGAAUUUUUUUUUUUUGUGAUUUAAAUAAAAUGAGAGGUUUUUCAUUUUUUUAGUGUGUUUGUGAUUUAUCCAUAGUAUUCCUAGAAAUACCCUUGUGUCUUUACAAGACACUGGUCACUCACACAGACACGACUAUACGAACUUUC